Molecule: ribosomal RNA, 215 nt
Filed under: Clostridium botulinum
Lineage: Bacteria; Bacillati; Bacillota; Clostridia; Eubacteriales; Clostridiaceae
Description: partial 23S ribosomal RNA
Rfam family: Bacterial large subunit ribosomal RNA
Source: RNAcentral
UGCACCAGUUGUCACGCCAGUGGCACAGCUGGGUAGCUAUGUUGGGACUGGAUAAACGCUGAAAGCAUCUAAGCGUGAAGCCAACCUCAAGAUGAGAUUUCCCAUAGCGUAAGCUAGUAAGACUCCUGGAAGAACACCAGGUUGAUAGGUCAGAGAUGUAAGCAUGGCAACAUGUUAAGUUGACUGAUACUAAUAAGUCGAGGGCUUGACCAAAA